UUAUUGUACCUCGGCAUUGUUGUACCAAAAAGGUUCCUGCUUAUUUCAAUUGUUUAGCAUAAUAACCAUUUACAUAAAGAGGAAACAUAUGAUCAUGCUGAUUAGAUACUUACAUAAUAGCUCCAUACAAUGUACAUUCAUUUCAGUAACUAUGUUAUACAAUAGACCUUGAUUGCUAUAAGCCUUCUUUUUGCAAUAGUAUUUGAUGAAAGUAUCAGAACCAGCCGCAUGUCUAAUUCCAAGAUUUUAGAUUCCCUGGGAGAAAAGAAGAGAAAAAGAUGUUAAACCUACGUAGACCAUACCUUUAGUAUUUUGCUAAAAGUUGAAUAUACAAAUUUGAGUGAACUCUAUCCCAGAUGCAAAAAAUAUUAGUCGAACUGCAAAAAGGCAUGUGCAAAUUGCAGGUAAAUGCACCCCAAAAAGAGCAAAACAUGUAAAGCAAGUGCAGAAUGCACGAAUGAAAACGCAGAGCGCAAAAAUAAGUGCAAAAUGCAGGAAAAUAUACAAAAUAUAGAAGAAUAUGGUGCAGAAACUGAAAAGCAAGUGCAUACUGCACAAAUAUGGAGCAGAAACUGAAAAUAGUGUAGAAAACAGAAAAAAAUAAUGCAGGAACCCCCUCCCCCAAAUAAAAAAAAAGCAACAAUUGAAACUUUGCUGGGAAGAUAAAAUUAUAGGAAUCAUUACUAACAGAGUAUGGGAAGAACUUUUCUCUGGAAUGCGGGUCAACGGGCAUUUUGCAUCAGUGGAAACUUGUCCCGCUUCUCUUUUCGCAACUGGUUUUACCUAUAAAGUUGAGAUCCUAUCCUAGAAUAUCAUUCAUCAGUCCUAAAUUUUCCUUUGUCUAUUAGACAAACUCUACCUGAAGUUCUAUCAGACUUGUCUCUAUUAGACAAAGCCUCCCUAAAGGUCAUGUUUAAUAUUUAGAUAAAAUGUUCUUGUUCUUUUAUAUGAAGCUACUACCGACCACAAAUUCCAUCAAUACUUAGGUUAUUUAAGUAGUUACAACUAAUGGCUUCAUGCGUCACAUAAUAUGUUUUAAUCAAGUAAUUAUUCAAUUAAGGCAUAGACAAUGUCAACUUUCUUCAAUAAUUUUGCGGGGGAAUGCUCAUAAAUUGUGCACAAAUGAAAUAGAUCAGCUCUGGAACAUCGUUUCUAAUUUUUUGGAUAGGCGAAUCUAUUGACACAUACUUCUUAUUGGAGAGUGCAUAAAGUGUUAGCAUCCCCUUUGGUAUACCACAACGAACCGGCAGUACCCCAGUGUCUUCCUUUAAGCUCUCACGUGUUUGACAGCAUGUAUCCACACCAUUCAUAAGACACAAAAAACAGUAGCAAAUAACUUCUGAAAUUUUCAACAACAAAAUACCUACUGACCUUAAGGGAUGAUCUGGUGGAACUUCUACUGGUACAAGUUUCAGUGAAAUAGGUUACACCAUACCGCCUUAGUUGAGAAGUAAUUUGGUCUCAAUUGUUGAUCUUCAUGCUCUGAAUGCAUUUUGUCUAAUGAAAUGUAUUAACACACGAAAAGCUGCAACAUAUUUGCACAUUUUCAAUCUAAAUUGUAUGGCACAAGUCGGAGGCUAUUAUAUAUAGCAAGUUUAUCACUUUCAACCAUGUCAAGUCAAUUUAGCCCAGCUUUAUUCCAUCAUUAGAGUGAACUACAAGUUAUACGUAGUAUUAAAAUGGAGAUUUAGUUUCACAGAGCACUGUACACGACCUAUUCGAAUCAACCUGUUUUUUUGAAAAUUGAAAUUUGCUCCAUAUCAAACAGGUUCCACAGAUAAAAAUUAAUGAUCGAAAAACAAAUUUAGGUUUUACUAAAUCUUCAUUGCACCAUAACAGUUAUAAAUGCAAUUAAAUUAGAGAGAAAGAGGGGGCCGGGCUUCCACUCCGCAAGCAUAUGGCAACAAAAGUUCUUAUGUUUUCCCCUUGAACAUUUACUGCAUCUUUUACAAAAAUAUCUAGCCAACCAAUGAAAUGUAAAAGUGCAUCUGAUUAGGUAGCUGAGCCAUAACUGAGAAUAAAGUUCAUCAUCAGCUCAAACUAUAUAUAUGCGUGUUUGUGUAUGUUUAUCAUCUAAAUAGCUCUUUGUAUCGACAUUUAACUACCAAAUUUUACAUUAAUUUAAUAGCUAUCUAGCUGUAGUGACAUCAUUCUAAAGUAUGUAUGAACACAGAACAUUAAUGGAUUCAAGUAAUAACUAAACCAAAUGCAAUAUAAUUUCUGAAUCUAGAAGAAAAUGCCAUCAGUAAGAUAAAUCGAGAUUCUGGGGGUGCUUUUCAUAAUGUUGUUGCGCACACUGAUGAUUUCACUCUCUCGAAGAGGCGUGAAAGUUUUGCAGACACACGGCUGGGAGAAAAAGAAAUGAAAAUCUUACCCAAUUUAUGUCAAGAGCUUCUUUUAGCACCUUCAAGUCACUUCUUUUCCGCUAAUGGAGGGGUUUAGCUGCAAAAAUAAAUAACUUCAACCCUAAUUCACUAAACUAUAUAGUUAACAAUUGCUUGUUCACUUUCUAUAACAGUGUAAAAAUUUAACAUGGCUUAAAAUAGCAUUCACUAAAUUGUUUGAACGCAUACAUAAGGCAUGACUUUUAUAUAAGCAAGCUAAAUUAUGCGGUAACUUUAAAGUAAACUCCACACAAUGGCCUCACAAGUGAUGGCACAUAUAUCAACCAACGAACAUAUUCGAGAGGAUGAGCAAUCUUUCAAGUUUAUCCCAGAAUAAUCAGGAUUGGGGAUAAGAGAUGACGUAUAGGUUCUGAAGCUAAACUAUGCAGUUUAGCAUCAAGGUUACAUAGUGCUUAUUAAUUGACAUCGUGGCUGACAUCUUCUCAAACUCAGAUAUCUAUUCUGCAAUUAUAGGUAACACAACACAAGUGUGAGCUAUGAUUGAUGUAGAAAUGGACUCUUAGAAAACAAAAACAAAAAGAUAUAGAAGACAGAAAUCCUUUGCUUCUAGAUAAUUGAUAAGAAAAUCUUUGCUUCCAGAUAAAAUAGCUAUGACUCUAGAUAAUGAAAUGUGUAGCUAUUUGCAGCUUGAUGAACACCUUGAUUACUAUCUUGUUUCUUAUUUAAUAAUAGUGAAAACUUUCAAAUAGAUGCAAGUUCCAUUUGUUCCAACUUCCUUGAAAAGCCCAUGAGUCCUCUCAUGCAUAGAAUAUAGGUGUACCUCUCAGACCCAGAGGCGGAUCCAGAAUUUAGAGUUUAUGGGUUCCUAUAGCGACCUUAAAUAAAUAUACAAUAAGUAAAUGAGUUCACAAUCAAAUAUUUAUGGAUAUUUAAUAGAUUUUGUAAUAUAUAUACAGGGUAUAUACAAAAGCUACUGGGUUCCCGGGAACCCACAUGUAAUAGGCUGGAUCCAGACCAUCGAUGACUGUUUCACAAACCCAAGAACCAACAGAGAAUCUCAGUUAUUUUCCCAAUAACCAUCCUAAUCUUAAAAAGAUGUCUGCAUAACCUCAUUGUCAAUGAAAAGAAACUAAGAUAUGUAUUUUUAAUGAUUUUCUGGCACGAAUAAGAUUUCACACACUGAUGCAAGUGCUUUGACAGCAAGCAUUCGCGCUUUGGCAUCUCUAUAAUUUUGCAUCUCUAUAAAUUUACAUAAUACAAAGUAGGGGUGACAAAAUGGUUAAAAGAACACAGUUAACCACCCAUUUGACGGUAGUAGCCCGCCAAACCCAGGAAACUAUGGAUCUCUGUAUGAUGUGGGUCUAGGCCAGUUCUGAACUGCCUUAAUCUUUCUAGGAUCCACCUGAAUACCCUCUGCUGAUACAACGUGACCCAAGAAAGCAACUGAACUCAACCAAAACUCAGAUUUUGAGAACUUAGCAUAUAAGUGGCUGUCUCUUAGAGUCUGAUGAACGAUCCGAAGGUGCUGCUCGUGCUCCUCUUUGCUGUGGGAGUAGACCAAGAUAUCAUCAAUAAACACAAUCACAAAGGAAUCCAAGUAGGGUUUGAACACCCGGUUCAUCAAAUCCAUGAAUGUUGUUGGGGCAUUUGUCAGCCCAAAUGACAUAACUAGAAACUCAUAAUGCCCAUACUGAGUCCGAAAAGCUAUCUUAGGGAAAUCGAAUGCCCUAAUCCUUAAUUGAUGGUAGCGAGAUCUCAAAUCAAUAUUNNNNNNNNNNNNNNNNNNNNNNNNNNNNNNNNNNNNNNNNNNNNNNNNNNNNNNNNNNNNNNNNNNNNNNNNNNNNNNNNNNNNNNNNNNNNNNNNNNNNNNNNNNNNNNNNNNNNNNNNNNNNNNNNNNNNNNNNNNNNNNNNNNNNNNNNNNNNNNNNNNNNNNNNNNNNNNNNNNNNNNNNNNNNNNNNNNNNNNNNNNNNNNNNNNNNNNNNNNNNNNNNNNNNNNNNNNNNNNNNNNNNNNNNNNNNNNNNNNNNNNNNNNNNNNNNNNNNNNNNNNNNNNNNNNNNNNNNNNNNNNNNNNNNNNNNNNNNNNNNNNNNNNAGACACUAGGUUUAAUAAAGCCCUUAUCAAGCAAAUCUUGUAAUUGUUCCUUCAAUUCUUUCAACUCUGGCGGGGCCAUGCGGUAUGGCGGAAUAAAAAUGGGUUGAGUGCCCGGAGCCAAAUCAAUAUAGAAAUCACUGUCCCUGUCGGGUGGCAUCCCCGGCCAUAGUUAAGUUUCCAAAAUACAACUCGAUCCAACGACCGCUCCAACAUACAUACAUGACCCACAAAAACAUCUACGGAGCCUCUAAGGAUACAAAAGAGCAACAUAACAAUGCCGGCAACAAGGCCCUGUCUAUACCUCAAAAUGUGAAAACUUAUACAAAGAAGGACUACAUGACCCCUGGGAGAAAUGGGGUCCACCAAAACUGCUGUGAGGAGAGAAAGAGAGCACCACUAUCUGCGUUGGAACCACCUACAUCCAUUCAAAGAUGUAGUGUCCCCGGCAAAAGGGACGUUAGUACUGUCGAAUAACACUAGUAUGUAAGGCAAACACCAAUCUCAGUAGAAUGAACAGUGAAACAAAGAGAAGGCAGUCACAAUAAUCAAUAAGUACUUCAUGAAAAUACAAGAAAAAUGGGUUGGAUAAUGAACUUUUUAAAAAUGGGUCAAAUAUGGAUAAGAACCAUAUUAUCCAUUUAGAAAAUGGAUAACCAAUGGGUAACCAAUGGAUAACUAAUGUGUUUAAUUUUUACAUUUGUAAAGCCUCAAAUUGGGGGUUCCUCAAGUUUGGGACUAGGAAUUCUCCCAAAAGUGUUCAUAUUCAAGAAGUCAUGGAUAAUAUGGUUACCUAUAUAUUAUCCGUCGGCUAACCCGUUUUUUAUCCGUAUUAAAAAUGGGUCGGGUCGGAUAAUUUAUCCGCUUUUUCAUUACCCGUUUUCGACCCGAACCAUAUCCAACCCGACCCGCCCGUUUGCCACUCCUAAUACAAAGCAUAAUUGACCAUCAAAAUAGAAAUGUGUUACUUCAUUCCUUAUCAGUAUCCAAUUAAAGUAGAAGAGGCACCUCUUAAAACCUCAAUUUCAAGCUUCAGAAGGAUAUGUGAACUAUCAUUUAGCUAGAAACUUAAGCAUUUACUCCCCAAAGCCAGAAGGUAAGCAGGAGCAUAGGAGCAAAGCACUUUACUGCUCACUACUCAAUUUAUUACCAUUGAGUAAGUGCCAGUAUCAAUCGGUUAAUAUGAUUUUAUCUCGCCUUUUCCAUUCCCCUGCGAUGUUAUAUUCCCAUUAAUUGCACUAAAGAAAAAGUUUAAAUGAGAUGCUUUAUUAUUUAGAGAUUAUUAUAAAGAUAAUUCAACUGCUAUACCAAUUACAUUAAAGUAACUAGUCAUGUUGAUGUCACAUUACUUUCAUUAGUCAAGUAUAUUUUUUCCCUUUUUCUUUGUUAUAUAUUAUUUGUCUUGGGUAGUUAAGUACCCUUUCGUAUUAUAAGUGACACACACAUUCAAGUUAAUUUGAUCUAACAAUGAAUAUUUCUUGACAAACAUCCAAAUUAAAUUAAUAGAACCUUCAAAGAAAGAAAGAUGUAUAUAAAACUGAGAACCACUCCCCCAACAUCAUUUUAUUCAGCAGAUCCUACAAUAAGUUUAAGGAGGAUAUAACUAAAUUCAAUUUAAUAAUACACCUUAACCAAUCAAAAUGUGUGGCAAAAAAGUCUAACCUCAUAACUGUGACAUUUAGCAAAGUUACCUAAGUAAAUUUCAGGAAUUCUUCAAGCGCAUGAUCGUUGAACUUCUUUUCAUCUUGGUGAACCGCUACGAACUCAGCCAAAAGCUACUAAGGUUUCAAGCUCUCUUUCCAUAAACUUCAACCCAGUAAAGCCAAAAAUCAGUCUAAAUAACAUCAUAUACAUAUUCUUUUUCAAACAAGAUCUACUUAUCUUAGUCCACGCCAACAACAUUGCAGACAACACUAACUGAAUCUUUCUUAGGAAACAAGAACACAACGUGGGGAUAUGCCUUGAAAGAAGCAACAAUGCCUCAUUGUGGUAAAAGAAAAUUGAUUAUUCCCUAGAUUUCAGGUUAACAGUAAGGCCCUUAUUAUUGAACCACACUCUCGUACCUCGCACGUUUUGAGCUAUUUUACUACCAAUGUUGAAAAUAAGCAAGAUAAAGGCAACCAAAAUUAUUGAAAGAACAUAAAUGCAUGCAUUACUGACCUUUCAGGAUUUCGUUCAUAUAGCCUUUCUUUAUUUUAAAUUGGUAUGUCACACAAUUCUGUUUGUGUGUAAUCAAAGAAAUUCUCGUUUUCUUUACACCUUCCUGAGCUGAGGGUCUAUCGGAAACAGGCUCUCUGCCCCAUCGGGGUAGAGGUAAGGUCUGCGUACUCACUACCCUGCCCAGACCCCAUUUGCGGGAUUUUACUGGUCAUCGUUGUUGUUGUAUAGCCUUUCUUUAUUUUCAUUGAGUUCCUUUUAGUGCCAGUUUUUGCAACCAAAUUGACACAAAAUAUUCAGAAGUAGACAUGCAUAAGCAGAAAAUAACAUAGUCCACCAGUUGUGCAGGAAUGAAAUAUCUAUAGAUAGUGAAAAAUAAAAAAUAAUAUUGUACAUAUCUUAAAUACAACACUUACUUUGUGAAUUAUGGCAACUACUGCAUCCAAGAUCUGACUAUUGAAAGGUUUAAAUACAACGCAGUAUUCACCGGCAUUUUUUCCAAUCUGUUUGUCACCAACAUCAACAUCAUUGCCAGAGCUUCAAAAAAUUCAUCGUCGCCUGAAGCUAGAAGUCCAGCGAUUUAGUUUUAUCUUUCUGUAACCUUUUACUUGCAUAGAGAAGUCCUUUAAAUAAAAUUUAUUUUCACAUUAUAACUUGUACACCUAUACUUGGCCAAGAAAAAAUUAGGUAGACAAAAAAAGAAUCACCAAUGACAGCUUUUUGACCAUCUCAACUUUAAUACCAUGGCCAAUUACCAAAUAGCGACACAUCUAACUGAAAUAACAAGUAAAAUGCAAAAAGCUACUAUUGCUUUUAGCCUUCUAUAAGUAUUUCUACAUUUGUAUAAAUUUUAUGAAAAAGUUUCCCAAUUCACAGGAAUGUAAAACUUUGCAUAGUUGAAGGUAGUCAUAAUUUACUCGAUAAUACAAAAGAGAAACAAAAGAAAUUCUUACCAAAUAGUUUUGUGUUGUUUCAGGCAUAUCGCGCCGAACACCUUGGGUCCAUCCGUUUGCAGAGUUUAAAAUCUCAUCAUCUUGAAUAAAAAUUGAAAAAUAACCGAAAGAAUAAAGUAAAAGAAGAGUAAAAAAUUAAAAACAUUCAGAUGGAAAGUAUUACUAACUAUAAAAUAUAUUAAGAUUUACAGAUAUAGAACACAAUGAAAGUACGUUUACAAAUAAACCGAUAUUAUCACCAAUUAAAUUUCUGGUACUGUAGCACAGACCCAAUCUUCCAACAAAAAGCAUAAUACAAUAGAUUUUUGUAUCGACAUUUCGAUUUACAGUUAGUAAUUAGUGCCAAAAGACGAAUGAGUAAGCCAAAAUAAUAUAAAUUAUAUGCACCAGGUACAAUCUCAAACAUGCAUGUGCAGAUCAGAUAGACUUACUGACAUGUAUGUAAAAUAUCUAGCUAGAAAUUAUGCGAAAGAGAAAGAAAACUAAAAAUGAAGCAAAAAUAGACAAUCCUUCAAAGGAAAAAUUACUUUGAAUUACUACAAUCUUUCGGUGAUGGGCAGAAAUUACUGCAAGAAAGGGAAAAAAAAAGGGAAAAACUUACCAGAAGUAGCGAAUGAAAUAAAAGCUAGAAAAUUAGAAACCGAAAAUGGAUGAUACCCAGAAGCGAUGAGCAAUUAUCAGAUAGAGGAAAAAGAAAUAUAGAGGAGUGGGAGAGAGAUAUGAAUAUAGAAAUUGCUGAUUGAUAGGACUGUUGAGGAAGAAGAGAGGGAAUACCAAUUUACCCAUAAAGUGGAUUACAUUUACCAUAAUGCCCUUUGUCGUACCCAAGAACCUUUGCUUAUUAUUUAUAUAGUUAAAAAU
This 8407-nucleotide long non-coding RNA is filed under the name Nicotiana tabacum (common tobacco). RNAcentral describes it as "long non-coding RNA (NTAB_LNC007585)". The record is from RNAcentral. Lineage: Eukaryota; Viridiplantae; Streptophyta; Magnoliopsida; Solanales; Solanaceae.